UGAUGAGCUUCCUGAGAUGAAACUUGGAAAUGGGCAAUCAACGUAUAUCGAUUUCCAUGCAACAGCAAGUAACGGAACAAUGAAGUUGUGGUCAGAAGUUCAAGAAAGCAAGUUUGCAUUGGAUAAAGGAUGGUUCAUUGAGAAGGUUAUAGUUUUAGGCACCAAUGGUACUGAUGGAGCUUUUGAAAUAAACGUCGAUGGACAACCGAUCGAAGAUGGUUCAAGAGUGAAGUAUAGCACAACAGAACACAAGUACAUAGACAGUAUGGAUGAUGAAGUUGAUAAGAGAAAGAGUAUGAUGAUGGAAAUUCAUGGACUGCAAUUGCCUUUAGGUAAGAAUUUUGUUAUGUCCUGGAAAAUGUGAACAAAAACUAGUUUCUACUAUGUGUGAGUAUUAGUACUUAGUAGGUUUUCAAGGUUAUUAAUGAAAAACGAGCAUACAGAUAAGCUAUGCGGCUCAGACUCUUUAAGAAUUCUA
This 478-nucleotide unclassified non-coding RNA is filed under the name Hevea brasiliensis (rubber tree). Lineage: Eukaryota; Viridiplantae; Streptophyta; Magnoliopsida; Malpighiales; Euphorbiaceae. The record is from RNAcentral.